This 2704-nucleotide unclassified non-coding RNA is filed under the name Hevea brasiliensis (rubber tree). The record is from RNAcentral. Lineage: Eukaryota; Viridiplantae; Streptophyta; Magnoliopsida; Malpighiales; Euphorbiaceae.
CGUAAAAUGACCUCUACCGUCUUCAGACGGUGACACCUUCUUCUGGCCUCUGCUUUCUCUUUUUCUGAUUCUUCUGCUUUUCAAUUUCAUCAUUGCGACCAUCGGAACUCCCUACCGCCCUCUUUGGUACUCUCUUUAUUUCUCUCACUGUAUAUAUAUAUAUACUUGUUUUUACAUACGUUGUAUAUGUGUAUGAUUUUGAUCUGGGCAAUUGAAGUUCUGAAUUUUGAUUUCAUGGUGUUGGCUUUUAUUUGCGGUAUGAUUACUUGCCCGAAUGGAUAGCUAGUUUUCGUCUUCAUCAGAUUUUUACAUAAUUUCUGAUGUGUUAUCAAGGAAACUGGAGAUGUAAUACAUGUAUAUAUGUUGUAUUAUGUGUAUGAUUUUGAUUUGGACAAUUAAAGGUUUGAGUUGAUGGGGUUGAGUUUAAUUUCUGGUGUGAGUAGUUGCCUGUAUGAAUCGCUACUUUUCCCCUUCUGGGUAUCUGAUUUUUCACUUCAUUUCUCAUGUAUUGCCAAGGAAUCUGAGCCAAAGAUAAACGAAAUGGAAACUGGGGAUUUAUUCUUUGAGUAAUUUCCGCGUGUGUUUUCCUUUUAAAACAGGCAAGUUAAUUUACAGGUUCGUUUUCAUUGUUGCAUCAUGUUGGACUCUGGGUUUCUUGGGAAUCAAUCACGGUACUUGGAACUAAAAAGGAGAGGCUGUGGCUUGGAUUCUUUUCUCGUGAAAAGGAAGAAAAGCAAGAAUAUUGUCGCUUGUUAUGGGUGUCGUCUCGUGUAUUUUCUUUUUAUUUUAAUCUCUUAACGUCUAAAUGUUGGUAUUCUAGGUGCUGCAAGCUAUUUUGAACUUGGGAUUGAUUAAUUGCCGUGCAUCGAUAUCAUUGUCCUUCUGGCUCAUUUAGGACUGCAUUUUGGAAUUAUUGCAGAGAGAGGGGCUGUUGCUGUUAAUUGCACAUCUUUAAGCUAUAGGAAUCCAAGUUUUUAUUUGAUUUGGAUGAUCAAUUUUUGCACAAGUUUUUGGUGAUCUACAAGUCACGCUACAGGUCAGCUUCUUUGUACUUUGUGAUUAGAUUGGCUAGUGGGUUAUUUGCUACAUUCUUCGCAUCAUGCCAGUAGUUCGAAAAUUGUGUGAUACUUGCAAAGAGUCUUUCUCAACUAAUGGUCCAGUAUCAGAAGACGCUCUUGAAAAAGUUCGUGGAAUUCUAGGUGCGGGAAUAAAUCAUCUAGUUUUGUUUCAAAUAGCAAGUCUUUUGUUCUAGUCCAAAAUAAUUAAUGGUUGCAUUAACUUGGAUUAUAUCUAUUGUCUUGACGCUUCUAGUUCUAUAUAAUGCUUUACCAGAUCAAAUGAAGCCUUCUAAUGUGGGUCUCGAACAGGAGGCACAAUAUGCUCGUCAAUGGAAAGGAUACAUCAAUGGUACCAAUGGCAGAAAAGGGCGUAAUGGCAGUCAUCAGUACCCACCUCCAAUAAAAUAUUUGCACUUGCAUGAGUGUAACAGAUUCUCCGUAAGCAAUUAAAAUCAUUAUAGGCAUUAACUGUGCAUUUGAAUUGAAUUUUUUUUUUCCUUCUAACCCAAAGAAUGUUGGUUUCUAAUUUUGUGGAUUUCUUAUGCUCGUGGAUAGCGAAAACUAACUUACAUAUUUAUGUAUUUAUAUUUUGCAUUUGGGACUUCGUUGCAGAUAGGAAUCUUUUGUAUGCCACCUUCCUCUAUUAUACCACUUCACAAUCAUCCUGGGAUGACCGUGUUGAGCAAGCUUCUUUAUGGUUCAUUACUUGUGAAGUCAUAUGAUUGGCUUGAUCUCCCUGGGUUUGAUGAUCCCUCUCAAGAUGUAGUUCCAUCGGCUAAUGUUGGUCUGAGCACCCAAUUCUCAAUUUCUCGUCUUUUGCAUCCUUGUUCAAAGAUUGAGUUUGGUUUGUGGAAAUUUACAGCAAGACCUGCAAAACUGGUAAGAGAUUGUGAAAUGACUGCACCCUGUGGUACAACAGUUCUUUAUCCCACCACUGGUGGCAACAUUCAUUGUUUCAAAGCCUUGACACCCUGUGCUCUCUUUGAUGUUCUUUCACCCCCAUAUUCCUCGGAAGAUGGGCGACACUGCUCUUAUUUCAGAAGGGUCCCUGGAAGUGUUCUACCAGAAGGUGCUGCUCAAUUGUGUGGCAUAGAACCCUCUGAAGUGGCAUGGUUAGAAGAAACUCAGCCUCCAGAAAACGUUGUGGUCCAGAGAGGGCAUUACAAAGGCCCUAAUAUUAGGCGUUAAAAGUUUUCCCCCUUUUUGCUCUUUUGAAUAGGAUGUAAAAUACCAUUAAUUAGAUUAGAUGAACACAUGGAUAACCCUGGAAUUGAUUGCUGAAAAGCUGUCAACUGACUUGGCAAGUAAUAGUUAGUCGUUGGCUUUUGUAAGGUUUUUGUGUGUUACGAUAAAUGCCUAAUCGAAAAAGCAAUUUCUGUUUCUGUCUUACUCUGACGAGUCAUUCGCCAAAAAGAGUAGCCGGAUUUUUCUUUUGGCGAUUGACAAGCAUCAGUAAUCAGUCGAGGAGGGGUGAUAGCUCAGCAUUAUUGUAGGAUGUUCAAUGCACGCAUUUGCACAUGGAUCUCCAAGGAGUGGUCUGGGUUCAAAUAUAAACAAUGGAAACCCCAUGUUUUAUGGAAACAGUGUUCUCUCCUAAGUGCCUAAGGCCUUCUGAGCACAAGAACUAAUGAAAAACUAUUCUGCUG